This is a long non-coding RNA of Cannabis sativa, 575 nucleotides long. RefSeq lists it as uncharacterized. NCBI's taxonomy places the organism in Eukaryota, Viridiplantae, Streptophyta, Magnoliopsida, Rosales, Cannabaceae. The record is from RefSeq and is a predicted model, not a curated record. The transcript is spliced from 2 exons.
CGACCAACCCGGCCAACCCACACCGAAAAUGGGCCGAACAACCCACUAAAAUUUGGGCCGAAGUUGAAAUGGGUUGGAAUUUUAGCAACCUGUGUUCAUUGGGUCGGAAACGGGCCAGAGCUUUUGUGGCCCAAUCAACCCAACCCGGGCCGGCCUUUAUUUGUUUUUUUUUUUUAAAAAAAUACAUAUUAUAUAUACUGAAUAUCAUAUAAUAACCCCUCUCUCUUAUCUUAUAUUACAAACCCUAACCCUAACCCUCACAUAAACUACCGCCUCCCUCCCUCUAUUGACUCAGACCCAAACUUCCUCCCCUCCCCCGACGCACGCUCCAGGACACAUUGCCUUCUUGGCUGGGAAAGGCUCAUGCAAAGUCAGCAGGGACAAAGAAAUACCAGGGACCAAAGGAGAAGAAGGCCAUUGAAAAUCAUAAUUGAUGAUUAUGUAAAUAUUAGAUUUUAUUUACAAAUUUGUAAUCACUAUCUAGUUGGUAGUACUUUUAUUGGAUGACUGUAAAUUUUUAAUGUGUAGAGCUUUGAAUUACUUUAUCUAUGUUUAAAUUUUUUAUGUUCAGUUCA